RNAcentral lists this ribosomal RNA (537 nucleotides) under Triticum aestivum (bread wheat). RNAcentral describes it as "partial small subunit ribosomal RNA". The record is from RNAcentral. Lineage: Eukaryota; Viridiplantae; Streptophyta; Magnoliopsida; Poales; Poaceae.
AUGAAGAUGCCUAAGCUUAUGAGGAAGCUGCAAACUGCGACUAAAAAUUCUCACUUCAGGGUACUCUCUCUCUCUCGAUCUCAGAGAGGAAACGAGGCAGCCACGGCCUCCUUGCCCCCCCCCCUUCUCUCCCUCUCUCCCGUGCCUCCGCGCUACUGCAGUACUCCCGCGCUGCACACCGCUGCUGCUCCCCAACCACGGCGCUAUGAUGGUGCUUGCUCGCCUGGUCGCCGCCUCGUCUCGCCCAAUCUUGAUAUAGUCCGGGGCGGCGCCGGCACCGCUCGACCGCGUCGUUGCCUCCUCUGCGUCAUGAGAAGCGCCACCAUUGCCUCCACCCCCACUGGGCAAGGAGCUCGAGGUGUUUGGGGGUUCGUGUUUCCUACACAGGCCAAAACACUAUUGGAGCCUUGGAGUUUGAAACCAGUCGUUUGGAGCAGAUCAGCUCAAAAGAGAUCCUUUGUACCAUUUGCAGACUACCCAUCUCCCUCUGGCCUGGAGUCUCGCUCGCCUCUGUUUUCCCCCUGUGGACACACAUGA